RNAcentral lists this ribosomal RNA (345 nucleotides) under Pseudoxanthomonas mexicana. RNAcentral describes it as "bacterial SSU rRNA". It matches the Rfam family "Bacterial small subunit ribosomal RNA", at positions 19 to 360 of the family's 1533-position model. Lineage: Bacteria; Pseudomonadati; Pseudomonadota; Gammaproteobacteria; Lysobacterales; Lysobacteraceae. The record is from RNAcentral.
UUGGCUCAGGACGAACGCUGGCGGCAGGCCUAACACAUGCAAGUCGAACGGCAGCACAGGAGAGCUUGCUCUCUGGGUGGCGAGUGGCGGACGGGUGAGGAAUACAUCGGAAUCUACCUUUUCGUGGGGGAUAACGUAGGGAAACUUACGCUAAUACCGCAUACGACCUACGGGUGAAAGUGGGGGACCGCAAGGCCUCACGCGAUUAGAUGAGCCGAUGUCCGAUUAGCUAGUUGGCGGGGUAAUGGCCCACCAAGGCGACGAUCGGUAGCUGGUCUGAGAGGAUGAUCAGCCACACUGGAACUGAGACACGGUCCAGACUCCUACGGGAGGCAGCAGUAGGAG